GAUGAACGCUGGCGGCGUGCCUAAUACAUGCAGGUCGAGCGAACAGACGAGGAGCUUGCUCCUCUGACGUUAGCGGCGGACGGGUGAGUAACACGUGGAUAACCUACCUAUAAGACUGGGAUAACUUCGGGAAACCGGAGCUAAUACCGGAUAAUAUAUUGAACCGCAUGGUUCAAUAGUGAAAGACGGUUUUGCUGUCACUUAUAGAUGGAUCCGCGCCGCAUUAGCUAGUUGGUAAGGUAACGGCUUACCAAGGCAACGAUGCGUAGCCGACCUGAGAGGGUGAUCGGCCACACUGGAACUGAGACACGGUCCAGACUCCUACGGGAGGCAGCAGUAGGGAAUCUUCCGCAAUGGGCGAAAGCCUGACGGAGCAACGCCGCGUGAGUGAUGAAGGUCUUCGGAUCGUAAAACUCUGUUAUUAGGGGAGAACAAAUGUGUAAGUAACUAUGCACGUCUUGACGGUACCUAAUCAGAAAGCCACGGCUAACUACGUG
This 497-nucleotide ribosomal RNA is filed under the name uncultured bacterium. RNAcentral's name for it is "partial 16S ribosomal RNA". It matches the Rfam family "Bacterial small subunit ribosomal RNA", at positions 28 to 507 of the family's 1533-position model. The record is from RNAcentral.